GGCCAGGAGGGAGGGACAGGGACAGAAGGCUCAGGGCUUGCCCCAGCCACCAGGCGGUGGCUUCGCUGCUUGGAGGAGGACGUGCCUGGCCUCUAAGAGAUACCCAGCAGCGCGGAGCAGGUGCCAGCCCUCAGACCCAGAACAGCUACGUGCCAGGCCGCGCACAAUCAGACCAGAGGUCCCACUCUCCCACCAGCCCCGAAGAACGCUCACGCCGGGCGGGGCGGGAAGGGAGGGCAGGGACCCAGCUUCGCCCUCCGCCAUUGCCGCGGGCGCUGGCCCCGCCUCCGGCGCGUGAGGGAUGGGGCCUGGGGCUCGCCUGCUGGAUCGAGCGCGCCUUGGGUGUGGAACCGGGGACGGGGCGUGGAGCUGUGGCGGGAAGGGCGAGGGGGGCGGGGCCUCGCGCGGGGGCGGGGCUCAGGCCCAGCGGGCCGCGGCCUCUGACCACAUGGAGCGCGGCGCUCUGGCCGGAUUGAGGCGGCGGCCUGUGGAGGAGGAGCGGGGUGGCCUCCGGGACACGGGGCAUUUUAACCAUGCCAUGAACUGUUAGAAGAUACAAGUUGGCAAAGAAGGCCGAAUCCAGUCUUGGUCCUGAAUCCUCCGCAUGGUGAUGAAUGUGAAUCUCUUAUGGAUGGAUUUAAGGGCCCACCUGUUCAAAGAACAGCCUGGAUGUUAUUUCCUGGGAAACUGUUUGCUCUCUCAUUCAGAUAAUCCCCCAGUUCUCAGUUCUGGGGCCCAGAAGAUCAACACCACUUCAAAAUAACCUCCUUAUUGUUAUUCCUCACUCUUAAAAUAUGUCUUUUUGUAGAAGAGUGUGGAGUCAUUAAGUCAUGAUCAAUUUCGUAUUUUUUUUAAAAAAGAAAAGGUUGUCAGGAGGAUGACAAUUCCUCCAUGAGGAGGAAUUUCUUAGAAAUAUGAUGGCUUACAGUCCAUGCCCUGGAGUAAGCCUGCUUAGCUCCUGUUAGAUUAUUUUGUCAAGAGCACUGACUUGUGUAUAUUCAAGACCACUUGUGUCCAUUUUUAAUAGCAGAAAAUGUUAUUUUCAUAUUAUAAAUGUGAAAUUCUAUUCUGCAGCAUAAAACGGAAUUUUAUCAUGGGAGAAAUCACUCCAUUUUUGUAAUUCUUUAUUUGGCUGAAGGCAAAGGACCAUGUUUACAGUCAAAUGGAAACACCCUCUUUUGCCAGGAUUUUAAUUCUCCCAUUUCCAAUGCUUUAGGUGAUGGGUUUUGAGUUCAGAAAUCUCUGUGAGGGGCCUCAGUCAGACAGCUGCUCAGGCUUCCAGGGGAGUGUGAGCUGAUUAAGUCAGCCACAAAUUCUGGAAUGUUUCAGAAUCAAAAGUGGGAUGGAAUACCUUGUACUCCCCAUGCUCCCUGGAUGGAAUUCACAUGAGGCCAUGUUUUCUAUCUCUGUUCAAGGCCAUCUUGAUGAGCCCAAUGCGUAAGUCAUCACAGAUGACAUUUUCAUGUUGGGAAAAGGGAAGAAAUGGAAGGCAAACUGAUCGGAAGUGACUCUGCCGCUGCUUGUGGUCAGGAUUCUCUAACAUUACAAAGCAUAUUACAGUCAUCAAGAAAGACUUAGGUCUCUGCUGCCAGAAUCCUAAGGUCACUGGAUGGAUUUGGGUUUGGGAGAUUUAAAAACAAUAUUAUUAAUGCUUUUGAUGAUACAUGUAGGACCAAAAAAGCUGAGCAGACUCUGUGGAGAGGGACAGAUGACUCCCUUCAGGACCCCCCACAUGCUCCAGUAGGAUCCUUCCCAUGUCAGAGGGAUCUGAGGAGAGCCCUCAGUGCAUCCUAUAUGGGAAGGCUAGGGGAGGACGUGGAAAGAGGCUCAGAAGAUGAGUAGAUGUGGAUGGGCUGAGGUCCACACAAUAGGAGGCCAUGCCUUCCUCAGGGAGGUCAUGGAUUCAUUGGAGUGGAGGAAUGUGGUUCUCAAGGCCAUUUCGAUAUGCCCCCAACCACAACACCGAUGAAAGAGCCAAACAAACCAAAGGCCUCAUUGUCAUUUCAUUGUAAUCUGUUCGUGGGCAGUGGGAGACAGGUAGAGGAGGAGAACCCGCUGCAGCCCUUUUCAUACCCCAGGCAGAGCCACUUGAUGUUGCCUCCAUCAGCAUUGUUUCCUAAUGGUGUUGGUGAUACAUUGUAACCAAACUUAAUCAAGAAACUGGUGUGAUAUUCCACUAAUUGUCCCUGUGUAACCAUGUGUCCCUUGCUCUGUGGCACUCAUUGCAUGCCCCCAGAGUCACUUUUUACAGCACCAGUCAUUGAUGGUAGGUGGGCUACACUUACUCAACAAGUUUAUUUCUAUUUCUGUGCCAAAAGUGAGGAACUGCAAAAUGCUCAGAUGACACAAAGCCUUUACCACUAGCUAAUUCACAGACAUUGUAAAUGAAUCAGCACUAUCCGGUAUUUCAAAGUUUAAAGGCGAAGAGUGACUCGAAGGUCGUCUUUUUAAAAAUUGGGGUCAUAAGAUCAUAAAGUUCAACAGGGACCUUAGGCACCAGGAAGCCCAGUCCAAAGGAGGUGCAGUGACUUGCUCAAAGUCCCACCGAUUGCAGAUAUUUCAUAGCCUGUGAUUUCACAGAUGAAGAAACAAUCCCAUACAAGACAUGUGCUUGGUCGUCUAGCCAAUUAGUAACAUAGGCAAGAGUAGAAUUCAGAUCUCUUUGAGGUGGCACGAUGAGGGCUACGGAUCGACCAGACCUGGCUUCUGGUUGUGAUUCUGGCCCUUUUUAUUAGUAUGACCUUGGGCAAGUCCCUUUGAGUCUUGGUGUCUUCAUCUGCAAAAGAUAGAGUUGGACUAAAUGACCCCUGAGUGUCUUCCCAGUUCCAAACACAGUGCUCACCAAGCCUGGCUCUGUUUCCAUAGCUCCACCUUCUCAGACAUCCUGAUCCUGACCUUGAAACUCCUCCUUCACAAGAAAGAUUCGAGACACACACACACACACACACAGAGUAUGUGAGAGAAAGCCCGGGCCAGGGAAAGUAUUCCAUCUUGGAGCCAGUGUUGUUAUUCCCUUAUCUCAUAGAGCUUUGUGUCAUCGUUUUUUCUAAGCAGCUAGUUAGGUCUUUACAUGUUUAGUCUGUAUGUAUAUACAUAUACACAUACAUACAUACACACAAAAUAAACGUAUUGUCCCUAAUUAACUAGGCCA
Molecule: long non-coding RNA, 3151 nt
Filed under: Phascolarctos cinereus (koala)
Lineage: Eukaryota; Metazoa; Chordata; Mammalia; Diprotodontia; Phascolarctidae
Description: lncRNA (ENSPCIG00000008433.2)
Source: RNAcentral